This 274-nucleotide long non-coding RNA is filed under the name Gossypium barbadense (sea-island cotton). RNAcentral's name for it is "long non-coding RNA (GBAR_LNC019231)". The stretch from base 157 to 243 matches the Rfam family "MIR7486 microRNA precursor family". Lineage: Eukaryota; Viridiplantae; Streptophyta; Magnoliopsida; Malvales; Malvaceae. The record is from RNAcentral.
UUCGGGUUAAGCUAGGGCAAUUUACACAAAAAGACCUUUUUUAAAAGAAAUUACCGAAUUGGGCCCAUUAUUUAAUUAUUUACCGGAAUAGUCCAUUUUCCGGCAAAUCGCGUCCACGUCAGCGCGAUGUUAGGGAACGCGCCAGCAAAUCGCGGCCAUGUCAGCGCGCUUUGCUGACAUUGCAACAAAUUGCUCCCUCUAGGACGCGAUUUGCUGCCACGUCAGCAAAGCGUGCUGAUGUGGCCGCGAUUUGCCCAACGCAAAUUUGACCGUU